UCGGAUUGUAGGCUGCAACUCGCCUACAUGAAGUCGGAGUUGCUAGUAAUCGCGGAUCAGAAUGCCGCGGUGAAUGCGUUCCCGGGUCUUGUACACACCGCCCGUCACACCAUGGAAGUUGGGGGCGCCCGAAGUUGGUCGGGAAAUAGAUUACCUAAGGCGAAACCAAUGACUGGGGUGAAGUCGUAACAAGGUAAC
This 198-nucleotide ribosomal RNA is filed under the name uncultured bacterium. RNAcentral describes it as "partial 16S ribosomal RNA". It matches the Rfam family "Bacterial small subunit ribosomal RNA", at positions 1293 to 1500 of the family's 1533-position model. The record is from RNAcentral.